GCCGGAAGUUGUUGCUGUCGGCUUCCGCUUCCUCCUGCCGCGAACCGCUCGGGUCGCAGCUGUUGUGGCAGUGAACGAGUCGGGGCGUCGUGGGCGGGGGGCGCAGCCAUGCCCCGGUAUUACGAGGAUAAGCCCGAGGGCGGCGCGUGCGCGGGCGUGAAGGAGGACCUGGGCGCCUGUCUGCUGCGGUCGGACUGUGUGCUCAAGGAAGGAAAGUCCCCUCGGCAGUGUCUGAAGGAGGGAAACUGCAAAGCUCUGAAAUACUCAUUUUUUGAAUGUAAAAGAUCAAUGGAGAAGCCAAGUGUACAGGACAUUCAUGACCCAGGAGGCCACACGAAGAACUUGAGCAUGUUUGCUGUCUCAUCAGAUCCAGGGAGUUGGAUGCCAGAUCAAGAUUCAGAGGAAGAAAAGGAUAUUGAUGCUAUUAUGUUCAAACCAAGAUGAAAUCAACAAAGGAUUUUCUCUUCAUUUAAACAGAGAAGCCAAAAUAGGAAACAUACUUUUUGCUACAUCUGUUGGGUUGGACCAGUUUUUCCCUCCCUGGAACACCGGAGAAAACGAUGGGUUCUGUUUUUGAAUAUGUAUAAACUCUUCCAAGGGGCUGGAGAGCGGACACUGGAUCACCAAGAGUGGGAAGGAGUGAGGAGCAUCCAUCUGGGCUUCAAAACCACCACCAGGGAUGGAGGAUGCUCAGGGCAGUGAGUCUUGACCAUGGAACGGGUGUGGCCAUCCCUGGGGGACGUGGGCAGUGCAGCCCCUCCAGGGGGACGUGGAGAACUUCCUCCUAUGCUCUGACAGCUUCCCUCCACCACUGGGACAGUCUCUGGACAGUCUCCAGGCCCUUCCAGGACCCUUCGCCGGAAGCUCAGUCAGAUCGCCUCACCUAAGAACCCCGGAGUUUUCAAACAUCAGGAUCAGCAGAGAAAAAGAGAAGAGCCUCAAGGUCAUGUCUAAGGAAAACAGCCGUGGCACCUGAGCCCCCAAAUCAAAACCAAAUAUAUGGAAUUCUGGGGUCUAGCUGCACACAGUUUCCACCAUACAACCUCACCCUGGUGUACACAGGAUCCUAUGCUAAUUAUUUCAUGCUCCUGAUACAUGCUCAGUGCCAGGCCAAAUGGAAAUGGAAAGAAGGCUCUUGCCUGUGAAGGGCUCAGUCUGUGAUGGAGGCUGUGGGAGCGCAGAGAAGGCGAAUUGAGCCAGGUCAGGAAAAUGCAGCCUCCUGGAAGGGAUGGCUUGAUCUACUUCCUAAGAUCAACCAGAGCUUCUUGGCCUCCCCGCCACCCUGUCUAGUGAUUACUGCCCACUGAGGAACCAAGCAGACUUAGGGGGUAUUCACCAGGUGGGCUCCAUCUUCUCAGCCUCAAAGAUCAGCAAGUCUCCUGGGGCUGAAGGCUAAAUGGCCCACUGCUCCCCCAGCUUCCUGGGUCGUGGUCCAGUGCUGUUGGCCCCACCCUGGAGAGGCCCACGCCUCGCUGUUUUCGCUGCUGUGGGCCACGCCCUUCCUUGGCCUUCCUCAGCAGGCUAGGUUCACAUCUCCUGGGGCUGGCCGCCUUCCAAAAUGCUGAGCACAGUACUCCCCCUUCCUGACAGAACGCUCACCACUCCCACUCAUCUGUCCUCUGUCCCUCUCCCCCCACUCACUUUCAUGGUGCCUGGGUGGGGACCGGCCCUCCAGUCCAAGCCUGGGUAGCCCGCACAGGCCCCGCCCCCUGCAGCACUGGAAGACAAGCGGUGGCAAGCUGCCUACAUCUGAUAUGGGCUCAUUGCGGGACUCGCCCUCCA
Equus caballus (horse) is the source of this 1782-nucleotide non-coding RNA. NCBI's taxonomy places the organism in Eukaryota, Metazoa, Chordata, Mammalia, Perissodactyla, Equidae. The record is from RefSeq and is a predicted model, not a curated record.